This 1808-nucleotide long non-coding RNA is filed under the name Marmota monax (woodchuck). The record is from RNAcentral. Lineage: Eukaryota; Metazoa; Chordata; Mammalia; Rodentia; Sciuridae.
UAUAAAUAAAAUUCUCUCUCUCAAAAAAAAAAAAAUGAACUAAGCCCUGAAAGUGCUACUUGCCUGUAAUCACAGCAACUCAGGUGGCUAAAGCAAAAGCAUUGCAAGUUCAAGGUCAGACUAGGCAACUUAGCAAGACCCUGUCUCAAAAAAUAAAAAGCUGGUGAUGUAGCUCAGAGGUAGAGAUUCUCUGGGUUCAAUCUCUAGGUCCUGCAAAAACUAACAAACAUAAAUAAUAGCAACAAAACCUACUUCAAAUAGAGAGAUAAGAACAGAAAAUAAUGUAUCAGACAACCAUGUCCCACAACACAGAAUUAACAUGUCAAUAUUUGCCUUAUUUGUUUCAGUCUUUUAUUUUUAAGACCUAGGCCAAGUACAGAUAUAGAUAAAAUCUUCUCUCUACCCAUCCACUCUCCACUUCCAGAAGCAAUCACUCCUGAGAUUCAUAGGCUUACUGUUUUUUAACAUGCACUAUUAAUUAAGUCAUGUUUGAAACUUGCUACUUUUCACUGAACAGUUUUUGUUUUAACUAUAUUGAUUUAUGUAGAUCUACUUUCCCUAUUUUAACCACCUUUAAUAUUUCAAUUUAUGGAUAAACCAUAGUUUAUUCAUUCAUUUUCCAAAUAAGAGAUACCAAAGUUUUUUCUACUCCAUGUUUUGGACCUGCCUGUGGAAGCACUAUUGAGUGGGUGGCUUUUCAAACACAUAGUUUCCAACUUUGGAAAAUGAGCUGCCAAAGAGAUUUACAAAUGUAAUUUUUGAAAAGGGAUGUAGAUUAACAAGUUAUUUAUUUAUUACAGAUAAAACCAGAUCUAUCAAGUUGUAGGUAGAAAAUUAUAACCAAGCAUAAAAUGUAUGUUAAUUUCUUAACAGUUUCAAUUCUAUUAGUUUUAUUUAUCAUCUCAAUUGAUUUAAACAUUUAGGCCCUGAUAGCUGGAGAAUUAUACCGGAAAGUCACUAUGUUGCUCAAGAACCCUAAUCUUCAUGUGACAUCCAAUUAAAUAGCAGCUAUUUGGCAUCUUUCCUGCGCACCCCCCCCCCCUUGUUCUAAGAAUCCUGAUCUCAUUUUUUGUCUCAAGAAGACAAGUAGUAGAUGAAUUCUCAUGCCAAUAAGCAAUUCUGUAGUAAAAAAUUAUAUGACGGAUGCUUGAAAGGUCAUGGCUCUGACCUUUACUUGCCUUUUUAAAGUAAAAUCUGGAAAAAGGAAAAUUAAAAUGCAUCUGUUAACCUUAGUCUCUUGCCUAGUGCCAUCAGCCCAAUGUACUUUUGUGAUUUAAAAAAAAGAGAUUAUGGAAAAUUAAUUUAUUUACUCAAUAUAUAGUGAAUAAUAUAGUGAAUAAUAAUGGGUAUACAGUAGUAACCCCUUAUCCAAGAGGUUUAGUUCCAAGACCCCCGGUGGAUGCCUGAAACCUCAGAUACUAUUAGAGUCUAUAUACACUGUUUUUCUCCCUAUACAUAGAUAUCUACAAUAAAAUUUAAUUUAUAAACUAGGCAUAGGAAGAGAUUAAUAACAAUAAUAUAAUAGAAUAAUUAUAACAAUAUAGUGUAAUAAAAGUUAUGUGAAUGUGGUUCUUUCUUAAAAUAUUGUACUGGGGGCUAGAGUUGUGGCUCAGUGGUAGAGUGCUUGUCUGACGUGUGUGUGGCCCUAGGUUCAAUCCUCAGCACCACAUAUAAAUAAGUAAAACAAAAGAUCCAUUAAUAAUUUUAAAAAAUUUACUGCACUCAACCUUCUUGUAAUGAUGUGAGAUGAUACAAUGCUUACGUGAGAUGAAAUGAGAUGAAUGAUACAUUAUGCAUUGUGACCUAGG